Long non-coding RNA from Labeo rohita (rohu), 519 nucleotides. RefSeq lists it as uncharacterized. Lineage: Eukaryota; Metazoa; Chordata; Actinopteri; Cypriniformes; Cyprinidae. The transcript is spliced from 2 exons. The record is from RefSeq and is a predicted model, not a curated record.
UGAAUAAAACAGCUAUUUGACAGAAAAUGUUGCAUAAUGCUACCAGUCGUUACUGUUUUUAGAUCAUUUUUUAUGAGGUGACAAUCUUUGCUAGUGUUUUGGAUGAAUGACUUGAUCUGAGACACAAAGUAUGAAGAGCUAGUUUUAGUGCAUUUAAAAUGUGAAAUUAGCUUAUGUGCCAAGCUGAAUUUGAUGAUUAGGAGAACUGUGUGGAGAAUUAAAAAAAAAAAAAAAAAAAAACUGACCUAAGUAAUGAGAAAUAGGUCCUAGCAAUUGUAACGAAUAUACAAGUUGUGCUUUGUUACAGUGCAUCACAUUAGUCCUGGGGUUGGUUCACAUUACAACUAUUUCACAGCCUUCUGUAUACUUAAAUUACAAUUAGUAAUUACUAGUAUUACAAAAAAAAAGUAUUAAAAAAAAAAAAAAAAAACCUCAUAAAGACCCCCUUGAAUAGUUAAACUGUAAAAGUGAGAAGUAAAAAAGCCUAAGAAAAUAUAAUGCAAAUACACAGAAUGGAAA